CCCGCACAAGCGGUGGAGUAUGUGGUUUAAUUCGAUGCAACGCGAAGAACCUUACCUGGCCUUGACAUCCCGGGAAUUUCCUGGAAACAGGAGAGUGCUUUCAUUAGAGAGAACCUGGAGACAGGUGCUGCAUGGCUGUCGUCAGCUCGUGUCGUGAGAUGUUGGGUUAAGUCCCGCAACGAGCGCAACCCUUGCCUUUAGUUGCCAGCAGUUCGGCUGGGCACUCUAAAGGGACUGCCGGUGUCAAACCGGAGGAAGGUGGGGAUGACGUCAAGUCCUCAUGGCCUUUAUGGCCAGGGCUACACACGUACUACAAUGGCCGGUACAAAGGGCAGCGACAUUGCGAGAUGGAGCGAAUCCCGAAAAGCCGGUCUCAGUCCGGAUUGGAGUCUGCAACUCGACUCCAUGAAGUUGGAAUCGCUAGUAAUCGUGGAUCAGCAUGCCACGGUGAAUACGUUCCCGGGCCUU
Molecule: ribosomal RNA, 468 nt
Filed under: uncultured Desulfobulbus sp.
Lineage: Bacteria; Pseudomonadati; Thermodesulfobacteriota; Desulfobulbia; Desulfobulbales; Desulfobulbaceae
Description: bacterial SSU rRNA
Rfam family: Bacterial small subunit ribosomal RNA
Source: RNAcentral